UGGCUAUCAACAGAGAGAAGCGAAGCCGCGAGGCGGAGCAAACCUCAGAAAAAUAGUCUCGGUUCGGAUCGCAGGCUGCAACCCGCCUGCGUGAAGCCGGAAUUGCUAGUAAUCGCGGAUCAGCAUGCCGCGGUGAAUACGUUCCCGGGCCUUGUACACACCGCCCGUCACACCAUGAGAGCCGGGGGACCCGAAGUCCGUAGCCUAACCGGAAAGGGGGCGCGGCCGAAGGUAAAACUGGUGAUUGGGGUGAAGUCGUAACAAGGUAAC
This 270-nucleotide ribosomal RNA is filed under the name uncultured bacterium. RNAcentral describes it as "partial 16S ribosomal RNA". It matches the Rfam family "Bacterial small subunit ribosomal RNA", at positions 1229 to 1500 of the family's 1533-position model. The record is from RNAcentral.